UACGUAGGGUGCAAGCGUUAAUCGGAAUUACUGGGCGUAAAGCGUGCGCAGGCGGUUAUGUAAGACAGGUGUGAAAUCCCCGGGCUUAACCUGGGAACUGCAUUUGUGACUGCAUAGCUAGAGUACGGUAGAGGGGGAUGGAAUUCCGCGUGUAGCAGUGAAAUGCGUAGAUAUGCGGAGGAACACCGAUGGCGAAGGCGGCAUCCUGGACCAUUACUGACGCUGAGGCGCGAAAGCUAGGGGAGCAAACGGG
Molecule: ribosomal RNA, 253 nt
Filed under: uncultured bacterium
Lineage: Bacteria
Description: partial 16S ribosomal RNA
Rfam family: Bacterial small subunit ribosomal RNA
Source: RNAcentral